UGGAUAUUCCAGUUCUGCAAAUGCCAUAACAAGCAUCCAUCUGCAGAGCAAGUGGAACCACAAUUAGGCCUGCAACAGAAGUACAUUACUCAACUUAUACAGAUGGCAAACAACAAUGAAACAAUGAUGUUCCACUGAUACCAGGAGCAUAUCUUAGUCCAGUGCAGAGUAUAACUAGUUUGUGCUCCACUCGAAAGACAGAGUGAAUAUUCAGAUAAAGCAAUACACCCGUUACAGCUAUAUAGCUUAGAUACCUUAAUAUCCCUUCAUUAAUUCUAAGAAGUAGACGCCCUCGUGUACCUGACUGGGCAUAUUUCAAUUUCUAGUCAGUAGUCUAGUAGUGAAAUAAAAAGGCCAGCAGUAACUCAACAAUUAGAAAGAAAGAAAAACUACUCUGAGUAGAAAAUAAACAUCAAGAAUUAUCGCAAAUAUCAACAAUAACAUAGAAGAACCUGCUCCAGGUGCAUAACUUGAACUAAUAGACACACAAGUAAAGGCUUGUUGUGAUGGGCUCCCACAUAAGGUAGUUUCCGCUACCAGAUGUGAACGAAGUGUAGCUCACUACAACUCAACUUAUAUGAUGGCACCCUAGGUUAUCACUGACAUGGAUACGACCCAACAAACUUGGUAUGCUUAUUCUUCACAUGGCAUCUCUGUUCCAAGUAAAAAGGAAAAUCAUAACAAGGAUAAGAUGGAAGCAAGGUAAAUAAAUAUAAAUAUAAAUGAAUAAAGCGAAUUGGCAAGACAUGUAGGUGUACAAUGGCAGGCAAAUGUAGAGCGCACUCUAAAUUUAUAUUAGUACAUUCGAGCGAUGUGGAUCAAAUGCUUUAUAUCCCAAACUGACUUAUUUUUUCUUCUACAUUCCGAAACAGAAAAGGUCAAAGCCACAUAACAAAUUGUAGUGUUCACAAAUCAUCUGGCAGAAAGCAUCUCAAAUUAUGCUCAACUAAUAACUUGUAGGAUGUCCCAACGAUUUGAGAAACAAGCACACACUCUUCUUCUAAUGGAAUUGAAUGCUCCUACACCUUUGAGGUUCUUGAGAAAAUAAAAUGGCCCACAGAACCUAUCAUAUGCCUACCCAAAUUUCAACCAAGUAGUGCGAUGGUUGAAGAACCAUUAACAAAGUAAUGGAGAGCAUGGUAUCGUUCGGGCUAAGCAAACAUAACAGAAGAGCCGGUUGCAUAGCAGGAUUGAUUAAUGUUGGCUGAGGAUGAUAGAUGGGAUCGAGCUGCGUGGAGUUGCACUAUGUGCAUGUGCGAGAACUGAGCAUAUAUGCAUACUCGUGUUUGCAUUGAUGCAGUGCAUGUGAGGGAUCUAGACCCCUCCUCAGACUGUGAUAGGCAUCUCCUUGCGGCGUGAUAGGUGGGAGGGGGAAAAGCGAGCAAACAAGCAAGCAGGGAGAGUGGGAGGUCAUGGACAUGGAGCUGGCAUGAGUGCAUUGAACACCCUCCACCAGAAAUUGAGCGAGCCGUUCAUGAAGGAAUAUAACCAAAAGAAGUUGGGGAGCACGGAUCUCUACCUCAAAGGAUGAGCCCUUGAUGAUGGACGUAGCUGCUCUUGUGAUGGUGUCAACUGUGACUAGACUAAGCUAUAUGUCCAGAUCAUGGUGUUCUAUGCUUGUUUCUCCGGAAGGGGAACAAUUCUGAGCCUUGUAGGCAUGGGAGGCAUGGGGAAAGGAAGUGUCCAACACACUGCCAAGACUUGGUAAGUUAGCUUCUUUGCACCGAGAAGAGACGGGGGUUCCAUCUGCACUAACAUCGGAUCUGAGACAGCUACGCCAUCCAUGGAUUGGGACACGACAGGACAUGGGCUUGCAUCAUUGCGUUGGAGUCUCCUCCUCCCCUUUCACAUGCACCGAUGCCACACCCUCCACCUCUCCUGCAUGUGCCGCGGUGUCGCCUGGCCUCCUCCUCCUCAUAAUAGUUUAAGGAGUUGCCUGACUUCGUAUGCUUCCCUUGGAGCUGCUUCAAUCUAUUUCCAGCUAGGAGCAACUUAGAUAUUGAAAAGAAUAAAUGACCUCCAAAGACAUCUUCACAAGCAAAUAACAAUAGAAAGACUGAAACAGCCUUUGCAAGAGAAUGUAUGCUCCUGCCCCCGCGCUGAUCGCUGACCAAGGUCACGGGUCUCUUCUCCACCACGCCAGGAUCCGAACCAAUCUCCCUUUUCCUUAUUUAACAGUUGCUCUUUCAAAAAUAAUAAUAAUCAAAAACAGAGAUCGAUGGACACAAUGAAAGGCACCUUAAAAUUACCAAUGUACACAGUCAGUAGUACUACAUGUUGGUAAGCAUAGAUCUGUUGACAAUCAACAAAUCUGCUGAAGAGAUAUGUUCGGCAUAGAAGAACAAUUAUUUUCUUGACAUAGCAAACAAAAUUAUAUUUUAUUUCUACACAUACGAGCAUUCCACAUGUUCCAGUAAGGAAGGAAGUCUCUAAAGAUGGUUAGAAACUCAUGAAACUAAUAGCAUAUGAUCGAUCAAGUGCAUCAGAAUUUAGUGCCAGUAGCAAUUUCAUUAUUUUCCUAGGGACAACAGAAGCACAAGCUACCCAUACAAGAUAGCGUCACCAUACAAAGUCAAAGAAUUGCAUUUCAGAAUGGUAGCAACAUCAUACUAGUCAUUUCAUCAUAGUACCAGCAGGAUACAAGAUGACCUCAAAUGGAACUCGAAUAUCUACACAUCUCCACAGAAAAGCACAUAAACAUUUUACCAAUUGCUCACCAGCAGACAAUUGGACGAUCCAAUUCUUGCCUGCCUUGUCCUGGAUAAAACUAAAUGUGUAAAUCUGGUGCUGGUUACUACCCACUCAAAGAUACAUAACUUUGCUAAAGAACAGACAAUUAAAGUACUGAACUGAUUGACCUGGAGCCUACUACAUUGCUACCGCCGAGUGCAACCAACCAUGGAGCACUGAACAAAGACACAUAACACUAAACCGAUUACCUAAUCUAGUAGAAACUGAAUCAUGGAGCGCAGGGAUCAACCCAAGGCUAUAUAUAGAUUUAUAGCAUACGGAAACUUGUGAAGUACAUACAGGCAGGGGUGUGAAAAAAGUCAGAGAUAGGUAGCAGGUGAGAUCUAAGGCAUUAUUGUCCCCAUCAGUACCAAAGAAGAAGAUUAAAUUAAAGGACAAAUAAUAGUAACACCUGCAUUCUCUUCAUACUAAUUGCUAGUGAGUGUUUGCAAGCUUUCUUUUUCCAACUAGCAACAACACAGUCAGACGAGUAGCAACUGUACAACACAGCCAGAUUGGUUUAUUUAUCAAAUGGGCAAUCUUACAAUUUCUUUUAUCUUUUGUGCUGUUACCAUCUUUAGUUCAGAUAUCGUACAUUUCCAUAUGCAUUAUGUCUGAAUAUUCCAUAUGCUACAAUUCAGUAGAGACUUUGUCUAAACAUUCCAUAUCCGGCGAAGAAAGGAGGAGGGGAAGGGGAUUUACCGAUCGUGGUCUCAUGGAGGAGCAACAUCGUAGGGUAACGGGCAACGUUGUAAUACGGUGGUGGAGGUCGCCGGUGGGCUCAUCAGUGCCGGCGGCCAGCGGAGUGGGAGAAAAAGCCGACGACCAAGACGACGAUGGCGACCAAGAAGAUGCCGUCGCCGGCAGCAAAGAGGAGGUAGGGGGUGGAUAGUAUGAGAGAAGAGGAGAG
This 3640-nucleotide long non-coding RNA is filed under the name Triticum aestivum (bread wheat). RNAcentral describes it as "long non-coding RNA (TAES_LNC009906)". Lineage: Eukaryota; Viridiplantae; Streptophyta; Magnoliopsida; Poales; Poaceae. The record is from RNAcentral.